Long non-coding RNA from Lynx canadensis (Canada lynx), 1276 nucleotides. RefSeq lists it as uncharacterized. Lineage: Eukaryota; Metazoa; Chordata; Mammalia; Carnivora; Felidae. The record is from RefSeq and is a predicted model, not a curated record. The transcript is spliced from 3 exons.
UUCAGACCUGUGCUCUGCCGAUAUAAAGGAUGUAUCUGAGUAUUAGACGAUGUUCUCUGGGUGUUUAAAACCCGAGUGACCCCUCCCCCCGCCCCGGGGUCCCCGAAUCUGAACGUCACUUGUGGCCAGGAUUCAAGUUCUUUCCGGUGGAGCUCUAGGGCCUUAAGGAAAUCAGGGGGUGCAGCUGGGGACGUGUUCUGUGACCCCAACAUUCUGUGACAAGCCCGCAGUGGAUGCGUAAGCCGGUGGGGGCGGGGGUGGGGUGGGGUGAGGGGGUGCGGCUGGCACCUACCUCAUGGCACCUCACCUAUGAGUCACAGGACCAGGAGCCUGCGCUGAUUCCCCCAAGGACUGGAAGUCCUGUGAUCUCUGGUUUUAGAAAAGGGUAGGGCGGGGCCGGAAAGCCAGGAUGGAUGAUGUUGUUUUUUUUUCAUUUUAGAUCUCUGUCACCUCAGUCACUUUUGUCAUUAAAGCAUUGGUUGUAUUCCUUAAAGCAUUUGAGCAUGGAGGCCGCGUCACCUGGAAGAGUGGGGGGACCCCUGGAAGGGGGGAUUGCCACGAGCCACAGGAGGGGAUAACCCCGCAGCCCGUGGAUGGCCAGCAGGAAACGGCACGCCUGCCAGAACACAUUUCAGCUUUGCCUUUCACUGUGCUAAUUCCCUGAAUGGCAAUAACAAGCGGGGGGAGGGGGAGGGGGGGAGGCUGGGGGGGGGGCGUGGUGCGGGAAACACAUGGGAACUGAAAGAAAAGAGAUCUGAGAAACGAAAUCCGCAGGGGAAAGGAGUUGCUGGUGUUUUAGGGCCACAGCCAGCAGAUGCGGGCAGGGAAGCGGAGGGAGGGGAAAGGCCGGGCUUCUGGAACCUGCUGCUGGGCUUUAGACAAAGGCGGUUUGAGAAGCCGAGACCUCGAGGCGGGACCGGUUGCUGGUUGCUCGUAUCAGCACGGGGGCCGGAGCCAGCAGCGGGACUCCCGGGCCUGAAAGGGGAUCGAUUCCCAGCGCGUCCUUCAGGCCAGGAGUUCCCGGAGGAUGUGUCAGAACAAGAACGCAGAGGGAGAAGUAAGCUUGGGGGAGGCCUGGCAGAUUUUGCCCGUCGUGGACAACCUGCUCCUCCGGGAGGCAUGCUGCCUUCAUCCAUGCGUUACCUCUUCGUAGUUUCUGUUUCCUGCGUCGUCCUUCUUAUCGUGCUCUACGUGUUUGGGUUCCGGGGAGCGCCGGGCUUCCAGAGGCUAAAUAAUUCAGACACUUGGAUGCUGACUCAGGUUUGCACAUCCUUUA